RNAcentral lists this long non-coding RNA (235 nucleotides) under Ananas comosus (pineapple). RNAcentral describes it as "long non-coding RNA (ACOM_LNC006000)". The record is from RNAcentral. Lineage: Eukaryota; Viridiplantae; Streptophyta; Magnoliopsida; Poales; Bromeliaceae.
GAGAUUUAAUUUUUUUUAAAUUGUGACCUGCAAUAGCAGAUUAUUUUGAGAAAGGUACCGGUUAUCAGGUACCCCAAUGAGAGAUAUUUUUGUCUUUUAAUACGCGAGUAGUUAAGUAAUUCAUUCUACAAUAUUAUCAAAAUCUUUCUACUCUCUUUGUUUCCUUUUUUUCUCUCUAUCUUUCCUCUCCAGCUACAUAUAUUUCGUCAAUUCAUAUAAGAAAAGUUUAAAAUUA